UUAAAAGCAAUGAUGGAGACAGUAGGCUUUAGAUAAUUUUACAGAGAGUUGGUAUAAGCUGAGAGCCAAUAAAUUUAUAAAGUUGAAAAUCACUCCUAAGCUGCAGGCUGAAAGACGUUUGUUUAUUAAGCUGUGCCGGUUAAUGCCGUUAAACUAUAGAGUGUAAUAUAUAUUAGUUUAAAUUUUAAUAUAUAUUAAAUUAGGGUGGUAACGCGAUUAAUACUCGUCCCUUUU
This 234-nucleotide non-coding RNA is filed under the name Romboutsia ilealis. Its description in RNAcentral is "T-box". It matches the Rfam family "T-box leader". Rfam says of the family: Uncharged tRNA acts as the effector for transcription antitermination of genes in the T-box leader family. T-boxes are found upstream of many aminoacyl-tRNA synthetase genes and some amino acid biosynthetic genes usually in Gram-positive bacteria. The record is from RNAcentral. Lineage: Bacteria; Bacillati; Bacillota; Clostridia; Peptostreptococcales; Peptostreptococcaceae.